CCUACGGGAGGCAGCAGUGGGGCAUCUUGCACAAUGGGGGAAACCCUGAUGCAGCGACGCCGCGUGAGUGAAGACUUCUUUCGGUAUUUAAAGCUCUAUUAGUAGGGAAGAAAAUGACGGUACCUGUUUAAUAAGCCCCGUCUAACUACGUGCAAGCAGCCGCGGUACUACGUAGGCAGCAAGCGUUAUCCGGAUUUACUGGGGGUAAAGGGAGCGUAUACGGUAGGACAAGUCCGGAGUGAAAUUCUGGGGCUUAACCGCAGAACUGCCUUGGAAACUGUGCAGCUAGAGUGCAGGAGAGGUAAGUGGAAUUCGUGGUGUAGCGGUGAAAUGCGUAGAUAUUAGGAGGAACACCGAUGGCGAAGGCGGCUUACUGGACUGUAACUGACGUUGAGGCUCGAAAGCGUGGGGAGCAAACAGGAUUAGAUACCCGGGUAGUC
Molecule: ribosomal RNA, 440 nt
Filed under: uncultured bacterium
Lineage: Bacteria
Description: partial 16S ribosomal RNA
Rfam family: Bacterial small subunit ribosomal RNA
Source: RNAcentral